GUGUUCAUCAAGCUCCAUGUCCCCUCCAGUUUACCUCAGCAUGUCUGAUGCACACUGUCCUUUUCUAUGUGUGCCUGCUUCUAGCUUUAGGGAUCUAGAUUCAAACUCUACCUCAUCUCAAGUUUGUAGGCAAUUCAGUAGCAGUCAACACCCAGGUGUGGUUGGACGUGCCAGAACUGUCGUAGUGUUUUAUCAUUCGCACAGUUGCAUGGGAAAAUCUGAUCAAAAUUUCCAUUGCUAGUACUUAACACGGAUAUCGCUCUACUUGGCAGAAGGCAAAUGCAUUGCUAGAGCAGUCAUAAGGAGCUAGUUUGGAUGCUUCCAAAAAUGUCCUGUUGACUGAAAAUGAUGUUAUUUUUAUAUAUGUAUAAUAUACAUAAAUUUGUUUACAUAUAUAUAAUGUAUACACACACACAUAGAUUUUAAAAACAUGGAGUACCCGAUUUGAGUGUCAACCCUAUUUGAAUCCCAGGAAAGCAAUGAUAAGUUCCGGUUGUGCUGUACAGUAGUCCAGUGGGCUAAAUAAUUCCAAAUCUUCCCACGUGAAGAAAUAAUGAGACUGCGUCGGUAGCACUAUUUCAAAAUAUAGUGAUGAGAGAUAGGAGUCAACCACAAGGCCAUGCGUGCCCCAGGUGUGAAGGUGAGUGAAAUCUCAUUGUGUCAGAGAGCAAUGACCAAGGAAAGAUAACCUGGCACCAAUAAUAACUUCUAUUUUUCACAUGUGUACUCAGGUACAAUGGACCAUAUUGCUGAAUGGAAUAAGGCUUUUCAUCUUACUGAGAAAAAGUAUUAACUUGCAAGCCUCACUCAUUGUACUGGCUCUGUCAUUGGAGAAUUAAGUUUAUUGCAUAUUAAAAAUAGAAAAUCAAUUUCAGUAUUAUAUUUGUUUCUGAAUGUUAAUUGGCAGUUUUAAAUUUUAUUAAAACUAAGGCUGGGUGUAGUGGUGCCUAUAUAAAUAGGUGGUGCCUAUUUAAUACCAGCUUAUAAUACUAGCAGCUCUGGAGGCUGAGACAGUAGGAUCGAGAGUUCAAAGCCAGCCUCAGCAACUUAGUGAAGCCCUAAGCAACUCAGUGAGACCCUGCCUCUAAAUAAAAUACAAAAAAGGGCUGGGAAUGUGGCUCAGUGUUUAAGUGCCCCUGAGUUCAAUCACAGGUACCAAAACAAAACAAAAACUAAGUUAAAAUUAACUUAAAAUUUUAUAGUGUAAUUUUUAAGUUAUAAAGCUCAUUGCCAAUGAAUGAUGAUGUCCUUUAUGGGGAGAUGAAGUUAAGAGACUUGUCCUGGUAUGAACUCGGCCAUUUAGCUUUCCUGUAUUUAAUAUGCAAAGAAACUGAGGCACAAUGAAAAAUCUUAGAUGUCUGCAAAAUUUUUAGGGCUGCCAAAGACAAAGGAAUAUACAAAUUGAUAGCCUUUGAUGUCUGGCUGUUCAACUAAAUGAACUUGAGAAUCUAAAUCAUAUUAAUAUGAACUGAAUGAUACUCUUAUAGGCCAAACAAAAUUUUAUAUUUUGACUUAUUCUCCUCCAUUUGGAAAUUCGGCCAUGCCCCCAAAUAAUCGAAUGGUACUAAAAAUGUUUUUGUAUCAUCUCCUUAAGCUGUCAGCAUGCUAAGAGCUAAUAUGAUGGAUUAUUUUUUCAUUUUCAUAAUUGGUUGUUU
This 1655-nucleotide long non-coding RNA is filed under the name Marmota monax (woodchuck). The record is from RNAcentral. Lineage: Eukaryota; Metazoa; Chordata; Mammalia; Rodentia; Sciuridae.